Molecule: long non-coding RNA, 1458 nt
Filed under: Homo sapiens (human)
Lineage: Eukaryota; Metazoa; Chordata; Mammalia; Primates; Hominidae
Description: non-protein coding lnc-SLC27A5-2:1
Source: RNAcentral
CCCCUUUGUGUCUCUCAAGCCGGGACUGAUGAGUUCCAAGGCCAGUGAGGCUGAGUCUUCUGCUGGUGCCCCAGAGGCUGUAUCCAGGCCCCGAGAACACCGAGGCCCCGAGGGACUGUGCUGUCUGGCUGCUCAUGGAACCUCCGGCCGGUGGCCCUUGCGGUGGAUGACCAGCUGCGACUUCCAGUCGAAGGCGCGGCCACAGUCACUGCAGAAGUGACGCCGCUGGCCUGUGUGGCUCUUGCGGUGGAUGACCAGCUGCGACUUCCAGCUGAAGCUGCACCCGCACUCCUCACACGGGUAACUCCGGGGGCCUGUGAGUGAGCGUCGGGGGUGGUGCGGAAAGGCCACCUCCCCUUGUGGUGGCUUCUCUGUGCUUUCCCCGGUGGCUAGCCCCGGGGACUGCACACCUGGCCCACUCGUGUGUGUCCGGUGGUGGAUGACGAACACUGACUUCCAGUCGAAGCCGCGGCCACACUGCUCGCACGUGUAGGGCUUCCUGGGGGUGGCAGCCGGCUCCAGUCUCGUCUCUGCAGGUGUGGGCUGAGUGGGCACUGGCGGUGUCCCUGGGCGCACAGUGGGGGCAGGAGUGGCAGCCCCAGACAAGCCCUCCCAGGCUGCCGGCCCUGGGCCCUGGGGCGGCUGGGCCUCUGGGCAGCCAGGUGGACCCUCACUCUCAUUUCCUGGGGGCAGGGGCAAACCAGGUGAGUCCCGGCACUCAGCAACCCCUCCCUCAGGCUUGUGGCCGUGGCACAAGCUCCCGUCCCCCCAUGAGUGGGUGGCUCAGGUCCCACCGAUACAGGAGGGGUGAUUCAGGCUGGAUGGUGUGGGGCACUCACCCGAGCGCAGGCUUCUGCAGACGCCUGUCCCCGUGAGCAGCAUCCCCAGCUCUGACUGGGCCUGUGCCUCUGGCUGGUGGGGCGGUAACCCUGCCCGGGUGGGGGGCACAGUUAGGCAUGGGGUUUGCAUGAAGGAGGGGUGGGGUCGGUUCUGGUAGGUGACAGGGUGUUCCUCUGGAAGGUGGGAGAGCUGGGUAGGGCUGGUAGCACAGAGGCCCUGCCCAGCUAGGCCUGCUGCAGGGUGGGUGCAGGCCCCAGGGAGAGGGGCGGGGUGGGGCUGGCUGGUCCUCACCCAGGGAGACCACUGUGCCGUACUUCUCCAGCAUCGCAUCCCAGUACAGUUCCUUCUGUGACCGGUCCAGCAGCCCCCACUCCUCCUGCGGAUGUGGCCCAUCACUGUAGGCGUCUUUCCACCCCUUCCCUGCCCUGUCUGGUUCACAUUCUUACCUAUUACCCGGAAGAGUCAGCAGGUUACCUACGCCUCAUCUGCCCCUCCUGCUGAGAAUGAUCUCAAGGUGUGUGUUUGUUAAGUGCAGAGGUUCUCCUUCAGAUCACCUGACCAGUGCUGCUGCCAGCACUCAUCCCCCUCUACUACACCAUCCUGCUCAGAGGGCAGGUU